RNAcentral lists this ribosomal RNA (1343 nucleotides) under uncultured bacterium. Its description in RNAcentral is "16S ribosomal RNA". It matches the Rfam family "Bacterial small subunit ribosomal RNA", at positions 28 to 1378 of the family's 1533-position model. The record is from RNAcentral.
GACGAACGCUGGCGGCGUGCUUAACACAUGCAAGUCGAACGGAAAGGCCCUGCUUUUGUGGGGUGCUCGAGUGGCGAACGGGUGAGUAACACGUGAGUAACCUGCCCUUGACUUUGGGAUAACUUCAGGAAACUGAGGCUAAUACCGGAUAGGAGCUCCUGCUGCAUGGUGGGGGUUGGAAAGUUUCGGCGGUUGGGGAUGGACUCGCGGCUUAUCAGCUUGUUGGUGGGGUAGUGGCUUACCAAGGCUUUGACGGGUAGCCGGCCUGAGAGGGUGACCGGCCACAUUGGGACUGAGAUACGGCCCAGACUCCUACGGGAGGCAGCAGUGGGGAAUAUUGCACAAUGGGCGGAAGCCUGAUGCAGCAACGCCGCGUGCGGGAUGACGGCCUUCGGGUUGUAAACCGCUUUCGCCUGUGACGAAGCGUGAGUGACGGUAAUGGGUAAAGAAGCACCGGCUAACUACGUGCCAGCAGCCGCGGUGAUACGUAGGGUGCGAGCGUUGUCCGGAUUUAUUGGGCGUAAAGGGCUCGUAGGUGGUUGAUCGCGUCGGAAGUGUAAUCUUGGGGCUUAACCCUGAGCGUGCUUUCGAUACGGGUUGACUUGAGGAAGGUAGGGGAGAAUGGAAUUCCUGGUGGAGCGGUGGAAUGCGCAGAUAUCAGGAGGAACACCAGUGGCGAAGGCGGUUCUCUGGGCCUUUCCUGACGCUGAGGAGCGAAAGCGUGGGGAGCGAACAGGCUUAGAUACCCUGGUAGUCCACGCUGUAAACGGUGGGUACUAGGUGUGGGGUCCAUUCCACGGGUUCCGUGCCGUAGCUAACGCUUUAAGUACCCCGCCUGGGGAGUACGGCCGCAAGGCUAAAACUCAAAGGAAUUGACGGGGCCCCGCACAAGCGGCGGAGCAUGCGGAUUAAUUCGAUGCAACGCGUAGAACCUUACCUGGGUUUGACAUGGAUCGGGAGUGCUCAGAGAUGGGUGUGCCUCUUUUGGGGUCGGUUCACAGGUGGUGUAUGGCUGUCGUCAGCUCGUGUCGUGAGAUGUUGGGUUAAGUCCCGCAACGAGCGCAACCCUUGUUCACUGUUGCCAGCACGUUAUGGUGGGGACUCAGUGGAGACCGCCGGGGUCAACUCGGAGGAAGGUGGGGAUGACGUCAAGUCAUCAUGCCCCUUAUGUCCAGGGCUUCACGCAUGCUACAAUGGCUGGUACAGAGAGUGGCGAGCCUGUGAGGGUGAGCGAAUCUCGGAAAGCCGGUCUCAGUUCGGAUUGGGGUCUGCAACUCGACCUCAUGAAGUCGGAGUCGCUAGUAAUCGCAGAUCAGCAACGCUGCGGUGAAUACGUUCCCGGG